CAGGUUGAUAUUCCUGUACCACCUAUAAUCGUUUUAAUCGAUGGGGGGACGCAGUAGGAUAGGCGAAGCGUGCGAUUGGAUUGCACGUCUAAGCAGUAAGGCUGAGUAUUAGGCAAAUCCGGUACUCGUUAAGGCUGAGCUGUGAUGGGGAGAAGACAUUGAGUCUUCGAGUCGUUGAUUUCACACUGCCGAGAAAAGCCUCUAGAUAGAAAAUAGGUGCCCGUACCGCAAACCGACACAGGUAGUCAAGAUGAGAAUUCUAAGGUGAGCGAGCGAACUCUCGUUAAGGAACUCGGCAAAAUGACCCCGUAACUUCGGGAGAAGGGGUGCUCUUUAGGGUUAACGCCCAGAAGAGCCGCAGUGAAUAGGCCCAAGCGACUGUUUAUCAAAAACACAGGUCUCUGCUAAACCGUAAGGUGAUGUAUAGGGGCUGACGCCUGCCCGGUGCUGGAAGGUUAAGAGGAGUGGUUAGCUUCUGCGAAGCUACGAAUCGAAGCCCCAGUAAACGGCGGCCGUAACUAUAACGGUCCUAAGGUAGCGAAAUUCCUUGUCGGGUAAGUUCCGACCCGCACGAAAGGCGUAACGAUUUGGGCACUGUCUCAACGAGAGACUCGGUGAAAUCAUAGUACCUGUGAAGAUGCAGGUUACCCGCGACAGGACGGAAAGACCCCGUGGAGCUUUACUGUAGCCUGAUAUUGAAAUUCGGCACAGCUUGUACAGGAUAGGUAGGAGCCUUUGAAACGUGAGCGCUAGCUUACGUGGAGGCGCUGGUGGGAUACUACCCUAGCUGUGUUGGCUUUCUAACCCGCACCACUUAUCGUGGUGGGAGACAGUGUCAGGCGGGCAGUUUGACUGGGGCGGUCGCCUCCUAAAAGGUAACGGAGGCGCUCAAAGGUUCCCUCAGAAUGGUUGGAAAUCAUUCAUAGAGUGUAAAGGCAUAAGGGAGCUUGACUGCGAGACCUACAAGUCGAGCAGGGUCGAAAGACGGACUUAGUGAUCCGGUGGUUCCGCAUGGAAGGGCCAUCGCUCAACGGAUAAAAGCUACCCCGGGGAUAACAGGCUUAUCUCCCCCAAGAGUUCACAUCGACGGGGAGGUUUGGCACCUCGAUGUCGGCUCAUCGCAUCCUGGGGCUGUAGUCGGUCCCAAGGGUUGGGCUGUUCGCCCAUUAAAGCGGUACGCGAGCUGGGUUCAGAACGUCGUGAGACAGUUCGGUCCCUAUCCGUCGUGGGCGUAGGAAAUUUGAGAGGAGCUGUCCUUAGUACGAGAGGACCGGGAUGGACAUACCUCUGGUGUACCAGUUGUCGUGCCAACGGCAUAGCUGGGUAGCUAUGUGUGGACGGGAUAAGUGCUGAAAGCAUCUAAGCAUGAAGCCCCCCUCAAGAUGAGAUUUCCCAACUUCGGUUAUAAGAUCCCUCAAAGAUGAUGAGGUUAAUAGGUUCGAGGUGGAAGCAUGGUGACAUGUGGAGCUGACGAAUACUAAUCGAUCGAAGACUUAAUCAA
RNAcentral lists this ribosomal RNA (1501 nucleotides) under Staphylococcus aureus M42485. RNAcentral describes it as "bacterial LSU rRNA". It matches the Rfam family "Bacterial large subunit ribosomal RNA", at positions 1426 to 2925 of the family's 2925-position model. Lineage: Bacteria; Bacillati; Bacillota; Bacilli; Caryophanales; Staphylococcaceae. The record is from RNAcentral. RNAcentral also lists the same sequence under 1 other name.